CCUUACGACCACACCGGCCUGAGUACGCCUGAUCUCGUCUGAUCUCGGAAGCUAAGCAGGGUCGGGCCUGGUUAGUACUUGGAUGGGAGACUUCCUGGGAAUACCAGGUGCUGUAAGCU
Molecule: ribosomal RNA, 119 nt
Organism: Oncorhynchus tshawytscha (Chinook salmon)
Lineage: Eukaryota; Metazoa; Chordata; Actinopteri; Salmoniformes; Salmonidae
Source: Ensembl